Molecule: ribosomal RNA, 493 nt
Filed under: Prevotella sp. canine oral taxon 298
Lineage: Bacteria; Pseudomonadati; Bacteroidota; Bacteroidia; Bacteroidales; Prevotellaceae
Description: bacterial SSU rRNA
Rfam family: Bacterial small subunit ribosomal RNA
Source: RNAcentral
GAGUUUGAUUAUGGCUCAGGAUGAACGCUAGCUACAGGCUUAACACAUGCAAGUCGAGGGGCAGCAUGAAGUCAGCUUGCUGACUUUGAUGGCGACCGGCGCACGGGUGCGUAACGCGUAUCAAACCUGCCGCAUACUCGGGGAUAGCCUUGCGAAAGUAAGAUUAAUACCCGAUGUUAUUGUUUUCCCGCAUGGGUAGAUAACCAAAGAUUUAUCGGUAUGCGAUGGUGAUGCGUCUGAUUAGGUAGUAGGCGGGGUAACGGCCCACCUAGCCAACGAUCAGUAGGGGUUCUGAGAGGAAGGUCCCCCACACUGGAACUGAGACACGGUCCAGACUCCUACGGGAGGCAGCAGUGAGGAAUAUUGGUCAAUGGACGAAAGUCUGAACCAGCCAAGUAGCGUGCAGGAUGACGGCCCUUCGGGUUGUAAACUGCUUUUAGUUGGGAAUAACGGCAGCCACGUGUGAACUGAUAAGAAUUACCUCNAAAAGNCG